CACCGCCCGUCGCUCCUACCGAUUGAAUGGUCCGGUGAAGUGUUCGGAUCGCGGCGACGGGGGCGGUUCGCCGCCCCCGACGUCGCGAGAAGUCCAUUGAACCUUAUCAUUUAGAGGAAGGAGAAGUCGUAACAAGGUUUCCGUAGGUGAACCUGCGGAAG
This is a ribosomal RNA of Oryza sativa (Asian cultivated rice), 161 nucleotides long. It matches the Rfam family "Eukaryotic small subunit ribosomal RNA", at positions 1667 to 1823 of the family's 1831-position model. The record is from Rfam. Lineage: Eukaryota; Viridiplantae; Streptophyta; Magnoliopsida; Poales; Poaceae.